CCUACGGGAGGCAGCAGUGGGGAAUAUUGCACAAUGGGGGAAACCCUGAUGCAGCGACGCCGCGUGAGCGAUGAAGUAUUUCGGUAUGUAAAGCUCUAUCAGCAGGGAAGAAAAUGACGGUACCUGACUAAGAAGCACCGGCUAACUACGUGACAGCAGCCGCGGUACUACGUAGGGGGCCAGCGUUAUCCGGAUUUACUGGGUGUAAAGGGGGCGUAGGCGGCGGUGCAAGCCAGAUGUGAAAGUCCGGGGCGCAACCCCCGGACUGCAUUUGGAACUGUGCUGCUAGAGUGUCGGAGAGGCAGGCGGAAUGCGUGGUGUAGCGGUGAAAUGCAUAGAUAUUAGGAGGAACACCAGUGGCGAAGGCGGCCUGCUGGACGAUGACUGACGUUGAGGCUCGAAAGCGUGGGGAGCAAACAGGAUUAGAUACCCUGGUAGUC
This 440-nucleotide ribosomal RNA is filed under the name uncultured bacterium. RNAcentral describes it as "partial 16S ribosomal RNA". It matches the Rfam family "Bacterial small subunit ribosomal RNA", at positions 338 to 795 of the family's 1533-position model. The record is from RNAcentral.